RNAcentral lists this ribosomal RNA (263 nucleotides) under Sphingoaurantiacus polygranulatus. RNAcentral describes it as "partial 16S ribosomal RNA". It matches the Rfam family "Bacterial small subunit ribosomal RNA", at positions 517 to 779 of the family's 1533-position model. The record is from RNAcentral. Lineage: Bacteria; Pseudomonadati; Pseudomonadota; Alphaproteobacteria; Sphingomonadales; Sphingosinicellaceae.
GCGGUAAUACGGAGGGGGCUAGCGUUGUUCGGAAUUACUGGGCGUAAAGCGCACGUAGGCGGCUUUACAAGUCAGGGGUGAAAGCCCGCGGCUCAACCGCGGAAUUGCCCUUGAGACUGUAUCGCUUGAACACGGGAGAGGUGAGUGGAAUUCCGAGUGUAGAGGUGAAAUUCGUAGAUAUUCGGAAGAACACCAGUGGCGAAGGCGGCUCACUGGACCGUAGUUGACGCUGAGGUGCGAAAGCGUGGGGAGCAAACAGGAUU